Molecule: ribosomal RNA, 492 nt
Filed under: uncultured bacterium
Lineage: Bacteria
Description: partial 16S ribosomal RNA
Rfam family: Bacterial small subunit ribosomal RNA
Source: RNAcentral
AGUGAACGCUGGCGGUAGGCCUAACACAUGCAAGUCGAACGGCAGCACAGUAAGAGCUUGCUCUUACGGGUGGCGAGUGGCGGACGGGUGAGGAAUACAUCGGAAUCUACUUUUUCGUGGGGGAUAACGUAGGGAAACUUACGCUAAUACCGCAUACGACCUACGGGUGAAAGCAGGGGAUCUUCGGACCUUGCGCGAUUGAAUGAGCCGAUGUCGGAUUAGCUAGUUGGCGGGGUAAAGGCCCACCAAGGCGACGAUCCGUAGCUGGUCUGAGAGGAUGGUCACCCACACCGGAGCAGAGACACGCGCCCGACACCGACGGGGGGGACCAGGGUGGGAAAUUGGGCAAAGGGGGCGAACGUGAGACAGCGCCACCGCGCGUGGGAAAAAAAGCCCCUGGGUGUGAAAACCCCUUUUGUGGGGAAAAAAAAGGCGGAGUUUAACCCCCCGGUUUUGACGGGACCCAAAAAAAAAGCACCGGCUAACCACGUG